AAGAGACGUUGCCUUCGGGGUAUACCUCCACCCUUUGUUUAUUAUACCUUGUUGCUUUGGCGGGCCCGUCCUCGGACCACCGGCUUCUGCUGGUCAGUGCCCGCCAGAGGACCUAAAACUCUGUUUGUUAAUAUUGUCUGAGUACUAUAUAAUAGUUA
This 158-nucleotide unclassified non-coding RNA is filed under the name soil metagenome. RNAcentral's name for it is "partial internal transcribed spacer 1". The record is from RNAcentral.